Molecule: transfer RNA, 71 nt
Filed under: Ictidomys tridecemlineatus (thirteen-lined ground squirrel)
Lineage: Eukaryota; Metazoa; Chordata; Mammalia; Rodentia; Sciuridae
Description: Spermophilus tridecemlineatus (thirteen-lined ground squirrel) tRNA
Rfam family: tRNA
About the family: Transfer RNA (tRNA) molecules are approximately 80 nucleotides in length. Their secondary structure includes four short double-helical elements and three loops (D, anti-codon, and T loops). Further hydrogen bonds mediate the characteristic L-shaped molecular structure. tRNAs have two regions of fundamental functional importance: the anti-codon, which is responsible for specific mRNA codon recognition, and the 3' end, to which the tRNAs corresponding amino acid is attached (by aminoacyl-tRNA synthetases). tRNAs cope with the degeneracy of the genetic code in two manners: having more than one tRNA (with a specific anti-codon) for a particular amino acid; and 'wobble' base-pairing, i.e. permitting non-standard base-pairing at the 3rd anti-codon position.
Source: Rfam by way of RNAcentral
GUGGUUGUGGCUCAGUGGUAGAGCGCUUGUCUAGCACAUGUGAGGCACUGGGUUCAAUCCUCAGCACCACA